Molecule: ribosomal RNA, 253 nt
Filed under: uncultured bacterium
Lineage: Bacteria
Description: partial 16S ribosomal RNA
Rfam family: Bacterial small subunit ribosomal RNA
Source: RNAcentral
GACGAACCGUGCGAACGUUGUUCGGAAUCACUGGGCUUAAAGGGCGCGGAGGCGGGCUUGCAAGUCUGUGGUGAAAUCCUCCAGCCCACCUGGAGAACUGCCGUGGAUACUGCGAGUCUCGAGGGAGGUAGGGGCGUGCGGAACAGAUGGUGGAGCGGUGAAAUGCGUUGAUAUCAUCUGGAACUCCGGUGGCGAAGGCGGCACGCUGGGCCGCAUCUGACGCUGAGGCGCGAAAGCCAGGGGAGCAAACGGG